AGGGUCCCUUGUCUCUGAGCGGGAGGCAGGGUCUGCCCCCCACGCUGUGGGCCGUGCUGGGCGCCUGGAGCCCAUGCAGGGGGGUAUGUGGGCCAGGCCGCAGCUCUGGGAGGGGCCAGGUUCACACCAGCCCUGCCCCCCACCGGAGGUGCAGGCGCGCCCACACAGCAUCCUGCCCUGAACUUUGUCCCACCGGUGGCGUCGGGGGUAAAGUGCCGAUUCUGAAGGGUGUAAUGGUGCGCGAGGGACCUAAUGGGGUUUGCCAUCAGGCUCCUUGGACUCGCGUCAACAGUGGUGACCACAGGCUCAGCCCCGCCUGCCCAGCCGGGACAACACUGACGGACCCAAGUCGGGGCCCACUGUGCCCCUCCCGCCUGUGGAGCGUCUUAGGCACAGGGCCAGCUGGAGGGGCUGGAGACGACCUCGGUGUGGUGGCCCGCGGAGGGCAGGGAACCCCCCCGUCCGCCGCGGUAUCCGGAAGGCGGGUCUGCGUGUCUGAGGCUCUCCCUGCCCGCUCUGCAGACCCCGGCUGCUGCCGUCUCCCGCGGCUGCCAUGCUCCCUGCCUUCUCGUCCUGUUUAAAUAUUUAUUCCAGUUAAAUAUUAAAGGUCUUCCAAGUCCCAAUUA
Molecule: long non-coding RNA, 626 nt
Filed under: Suricata suricatta (meerkat)
Lineage: Eukaryota; Metazoa; Chordata; Mammalia; Carnivora; Herpestidae
Description: lncRNA (ENSSSUG00005013455.1)
Source: RNAcentral